This 477-nucleotide ribosomal RNA is filed under the name uncultured bacterium. RNAcentral describes it as "partial 16S ribosomal RNA". It matches the Rfam family "Bacterial small subunit ribosomal RNA", at positions 28 to 523 of the family's 1533-position model. The record is from RNAcentral.
GACGAACGCUGGCGGCGUGCUUAACACAUGCAAGUCGAACGGUAAGGCCCUUCGGGGUACACGAGUGGCGAACGGGUGAGUAACACGUGGGUGAUCUGCCCUGCACUUCGGGAUAAGCCUGGGAAACUGGGUCUAAUACCGGAUAGGACCCUGGGAUACAUGUCCUGGGGUGGAAAGCUUUUGCGGUGUGGGAUGGGCCCGCGGCCUAUCAGCUUGUUGGUGGGGUGAUGGCCUACCAAGGCGACGACGGGUAGCCGGCCUGAGAGGGUGACCGGCCACACUGGACUGAGAUACGGCCCAGACUCCUACGGGAGGCAGCAGUGGGGAAUAUUGCACAAUGGGCGCAAGCCUGAUGCAGCGACGCCGCGUGAGGGAUGACGGCCUUCGGGUUGUAAACCUCUUUCAGCACCGACGAAGCGCAAGUGACGGUAGGUGCAGAAGAAGGACCGGCCAACUACGUGCCAGCAGCCGCCGUAA